RNAcentral lists this ribosomal RNA (292 nucleotides) under uncultured bacterium. Its description in RNAcentral is "partial 16S ribosomal RNA". The record is from RNAcentral. RNAcentral also lists the same sequence under 2 other names.
GGACUACUGGGGUAUCUAAUCCCGUUCGCUCCCCUGGCUUUCGUUCCUCAGCGUCAGAUAACCCCCAGUGAGCCGCCUUCGCCUCCGGUAUUCCUGAUGAUAUCAACGCAUUUCACCGCUCCACCAUCAGUUCUGCUCACCUCUAGGUUCCUCAAGCACGGCAGUUUAGAGCGCAAUUCCUCGGUUGAGCCGAGGGCUUUCACACCCUACUUUCCGCGCCGCCUACGAACUCUUUAAGCCCAGUAAUUCCGAAUAACGUUUGGGCCUCUCGUAUUACCGCGGCUGCUGGCAC